AUGGCUCAGAUAGGACCAAGUUUGGAUAUUCAUGUGUUGGAUAGGGGUCGGGGAUGGUUUCCUGCACAAGAGGUGAAGUUCAUUUAUGUAAAUUUGUGUCCCGUGGUCAUAUAUUGGCCUGUAGAAUUUAUCAGAUAUGUGAAGGUGCAAAUUGAAACAGAAGACUCGUCUAUGAUGCAGCAGCUCAAAGCUGAAGAUUUCUCUAAUAAUUCUGAUGGUAGUGCGCAUGAUUGGGUUGUUGUGUUGGAUAAAAACAGGAAGGAUGUCAUAUUUGAGCAGAUAGCUGAUCUGAUUGGGGAUGUUGAAAAUACGGUUUUCAACAUGGUUGUCUGCAUAUCUGUGUCCAUGGUUACUGAGGCAAGUAGUUGUUGUUAUAAAGUCUUAAAGCUACAUGGGAAGAUCUCGGCAGAUACUUUAAGCCCCAAAGUAUCAAAGGGGAUUUCACCUUCUUGCCAUGCGUUGAGCCGCGGUGGGAGAAAGUGGGUGGAUUUGUCAUUGAUCAGUUGCCAUCUCUUCAAUUGGGUGAACUUCAUCACAAGAAAAAAGCAGCAAUUUGGUCAUACCACCCUAAUGUGUGUAGGCAAGAUCAAAAUGCACAAAUACCUGCUCAGAAAACCUUCUUGCUGUGGUUCAGAAGAUGAAUACAUCGCCAAGUUGCCCUUGAUAAUGCGUCUUUCUAUGACACAUACGACUGUUUCUCCAGCACUGAUUUCAAGCAACAGAAGUUGUGCCAAUUCACUCUCCUCAUCGACACUCAACAAUGGCCUCUUCUUCCAGUGCCCGAAGCAGCCGCAUACCCAUAUGCCUCGUGUUGAUUCUCCUGAUCGUCAGCCUGCCAGAAGUCUCAGCUGUCAUGCCGUACAAUGUUGCCUCUUCAGUACAUCUGUGUUAGCUCUUUCUGUUACUAUCCAUUCUGUAAGCUCUAGGAAAAAGAUGCGGAGAUCAAUGACACUAGAGGGGCGGACAGGCAGCUGCGGAGCAUCUGAUGGAGCAACUGAGCUUGAGUCAGUGAACAGGAGGAGCAAAGACAACAACUGCUCCGUCAUCAUAAACUUCCACUCUUGGCCGAGCUUAAACCUGCUAGCCACUUAUGCGUACAGUGUAGAUUCUAUUGCAAGUUCCUUGCUUAUAUGUGCAUGUUCAUCAAUUUGGAAAAAAAGAGAUGAAAAGGUUGCUCGUCAAUCUGGCACCGCACAAACUUCCUCUCAAGAGGCGCCACCAGGUGGCGCCCCAACCCCUAGUGUAGGUUUCAUAAGGGCUCAUAUGCCGGAAAUACAGAAGGGCUCAGGAGAAUGCCGGGUGUAA
This 1305-nucleotide ribosomal RNA is filed under the name Triticum aestivum (bread wheat). RNAcentral's name for it is "partial small subunit ribosomal RNA". The record is from RNAcentral. Lineage: Eukaryota; Viridiplantae; Streptophyta; Magnoliopsida; Poales; Poaceae.